UACAGAGGUCUCAAGCGUUGUUCGGAUUCAUUGGGCGUAAAGGGUGCGUAGGUGGCGCUGUAAGUCGGGUGUGAAAUUUCGGAGCUUAACUCCGAAACUGCAUUCGAUACUGCGGUGCUUGAGGACUGGAGAGGAGACUGGAAUUCAUGGUGUAGCAGUGAAAUGCGUAGAGAUCAUGAGGAAGACCAGUGGCGAAGGCGGGUCUCUGGACAGUUCCUGACGCUGAGGCACGAAGGUCAGGGGAGCAAACGGG
This 253-nucleotide ribosomal RNA is filed under the name uncultured bacterium. Its description in RNAcentral is "partial 16S ribosomal RNA". It matches the Rfam family "Bacterial small subunit ribosomal RNA", at positions 524 to 776 of the family's 1533-position model. The record is from RNAcentral.